This 533-nucleotide ribosomal RNA is filed under the name Serratia fonticola. RNAcentral's name for it is "partial 16S ribosomal RNA". It matches the Rfam family "Bacterial small subunit ribosomal RNA", at positions 363 to 889 of the family's 1533-position model. The record is from RNAcentral. Lineage: Bacteria; Pseudomonadati; Pseudomonadota; Gammaproteobacteria; Enterobacterales; Yersiniaceae.
AUUGMACAAKGGCGMAAGCMUGAUGAAGMCAUGCCGCGUGUGURAAGAAGGCMDDAGGGUUGUAAAGCHCCCCCMGCGAGGAGRAAGCCGUUGUAGUWAAUAGCUGCAACGAUUGACGUUACYCGCAGAAGAAGCACCGGCUAACUCCGUGCCAGCAGCCGSGGUAAUACGGAGGGUGCAAGCGUUAAGCGGAAAUAACUGGGCGUAAAGCGCACGCAGGCGGUBUGUUAAGUMAGAUGUGAAAUCCCCGAGCUUAACUUGGGAACUGCAUUUGAAACUGGCAAGCUAGAGUCUUGUAGAGGGGGGUAGAAUUCCAGGUGUAGCGGUGAAAUGCGUAGAGAUCYGGAGGAAUACCGGUGGCGAAGGCGGCCCCCUGGACAAAGACUGACGCUCAGGUGCGAAAGCGUGGGGAGCAAACAGGAUAAGAUACCCUGGUAGUCCACGCUGUAAACGAUGUCGACUUGGAGGUUGUGCCCUUGAGGCGUGGCUUCGGGACUAACGCGUUAAGUCGAGCGCGUGGGGAGUACGGCCGG